AGCUUUUCUUUGCCUUUUGGCUUAGAUCAAGUGUAGUAUCUGUUCUUGAAAGUUUGGUCGACUUUCACGCCUCCACGCGAGGCGAUUCGAUCUAACUUGUUUUUGGAAUCUGGGGAGUACCCUCUGGCUUGCUAUGGUGCUUUCCACUGAUGGCCCAAGAGUUGCACUGUUUCUUGGAGCUGUCGAAAUUAU
RNAcentral lists this small nuclear RNA (192 nucleotides) under Neolecta irregularis DAH-3. Its description in RNAcentral is "U2 spliceosomal RNA". It matches the Rfam family "U2 spliceosomal RNA". From Rfam's summary of the family: U2 is a small nuclear RNA (snRNA) component of the spliceosome (involved in pre-mRNA splicing). The record is from Rfam by way of RNAcentral. Lineage: Eukaryota; Fungi; Ascomycota; Neolectomycetes; Neolectales; Neolectaceae.